GCAGUGCCCGGCGCCUCCACCACUUUCCAAAAGUGGGUGCGGGGGCGACACAGGCUCGACACGCGUGGUAAAGAGCUUCCUUUUGCCCGGCAUGAUACCGCCGUUAUCGGGUCAUAUCACAAGUGCCAAUGACAAUCAUGAGGCGCUCGCUCUCGCUGCGUAAGCAGUGAAAAGCGCGGUUCGGGGGGUACCGGGCAACAGAAACCCCCCACU
RNAcentral lists this transfer-messenger RNA (213 nucleotides) under Acetobacteraceae bacterium. Its description in RNAcentral is "partial transfer-messenger RNA". It matches the Rfam family "Alphaproteobacteria transfer-messenger RNA", at positions 98 to 355 of the family's 355-position model. Rfam says of the family: Bacterial tmRNA, also known as 10Sa RNA or SsrA, is named for its dual tRNA and mRNA-like properties. Its role is to liberate the mRNA from a stalled ribosome. To accomplish this part of the tmRNA is used as a reading frame that ends in a translation stop signal. The record is from RNAcentral. Lineage: Bacteria; Pseudomonadati; Pseudomonadota; Alphaproteobacteria; Acetobacterales; Acetobacteraceae.